GGGGUAACGGCCUACCAAGGCAACGAUGGGUAGCCGAUCUGAGAGGAUGAUCGGCCACACUGGAACUGAAACACGGUCCAGACUCCUACGGGAGGCAGCAGUGGGGAAUAUUGCGCAAUGGGCGAAAGCCUGACGCAGCGACGCCGCGUGAGGGAUGAAGGUCUUCGGAUCGUAAACCUCUGUCAGGAGGGAAGAAACUAGGGUGCUCUAAUCAGCAUCCUACUGACGGUACCUUCAAAGGAAGCACCGGCUAACUCCGUGCCAGCAGCCGCGGUAAUACGGAGGGUGCAAGCGUUAAUCGGAAUCACUGGGCGUAAAGCGCACGUAGGCUGUUAUGUAAGUCAGGGGUGAAAGCCCACGGCUCAACCGUGGAACUGCCCUUGAUACUGCACGACUCGAAUCCGGGAGAGGGUGGCGGAAUUCCAGGUGUAGGAGUGAAAUCCGUAGAUAUCUGGAGGAACAUCAGUGGCGAAGGCGGCCACCUGGACCGGUAUUGACGCUGAGGUGCGAAAGCGUGGGGAGCGAACAGGAUUAGAUACCCUGGUAGUCCACGCCGUAAACGAUGGACGCU
RNAcentral lists this ribosomal RNA (571 nucleotides) under uncultured Desulfovibrio sp. RNAcentral describes it as "bacterial SSU rRNA". It matches the Rfam family "Bacterial small subunit ribosomal RNA", at positions 254 to 817 of the family's 1533-position model. Lineage: Bacteria; Pseudomonadati; Thermodesulfobacteriota; Desulfovibrionia; Desulfovibrionales; Desulfovibrionaceae. The record is from RNAcentral.